CAAUACCUUGACGUGGUCACCUAAUGUAAGGUUGAAGAAAGUAAGGUUUGCUCUGGCCAUGACUAAUGCUGUGUGAUAUAACUGUGCAGAUAAUUGGUCAUGGCUCUUAGGAACAGUUAUGGGUAAUGUAUUUCUUUGGCAUUUGUUUCUGGAAUUUCAUUUACCUUUAAGGAGGCUAUACAAGAGGAGGAGGACUCCAGCUGAAAACUAUUUUUAAACAUUAAUACAGUACACAUAGAGCCACUUGGUAGAUAGUAUGUGUUACCACCAUCCUGUCUGCCAGUGUUUGUACGGUAUAAGUUAUUCAGUGUUGUGAGAGUAUUUGUCCCUGGUAAGAUAGUAAGGGGAGUAGUUUCUUUUACAUAUAAAUACCGCUGAACGGUGUGCUUCAGUAUCAUCCAUCCUUCAUGUCAUUUGUUCCUCACAUCUGAUCAGAUUUUGACAGAUGUUUAUGUACCUGCCAAGGUUCAGGGCAGUGUACAGGUGUUUCACUGGAAAGUAAAGAUAGAGAAAAAUCAGAGGCCCAGUAUGGACACCUUCUCAUAUGGUGAAUGGGUCUCAUUCCUAACAGGUCCCGUGCAAGCAGAACCCAGUCCUAAUGGACACCAUCUUCAUAGGACCCAGUCCUAAUGGUUAGGUUAGUUAGGGGACUAUUAAGACUGGGGUCCACUUGAUUUUGCAAUCCUUCUCAUGUUGUGUAUCUCACAAUUAGACAAGUUUUGAGGAAAAACGUGGGAGAGUUUUUCGUGAUCUUUUCUACUGAUCAUUUUGCUGCUGGGAAAAGUCUUUCCCCCCUCCUGUUUAAACUGAGUUUAAGAACAGUGAUGUUCUGUAUGUGAGGAAGAUAUAAAACUAAUGGAACCUGAAUAUUUUAUUAUAUAGUACAGUGUUUCUAUUUGCUAGAGAGAUUGUUUAUAUGUAAACAAGAUUAGACAUAACUAAUGUAAAUAUUAUUCAAUAGUUUACCUGUAUCAGAAAAUUCAGGUUUCAUUAUAUUUAAGAAUUACUCUUUUCAUAUCCAUAAGGGAGAUGGGGGUUCAGUAGUGACCUUCACACCCCAAGUUGUACAAAAAACAAAAUUAAUUGCCUCGGUUAACUGUGUCUGGCUGCCAUAUCUUUGGUUGUGUUGCCAGUACUGGGUGGCAGCCCUGGAUGGCUCAGAGGUAAUGUAGGAGGAUGUGUGGUGUUCCCAACCUGACCAAAUAUACACAGGGCAAUUAUUCCUUUUUUUUAUAUAAUUAGUGUAAACAACCUCGGCUAAAAGCACAGUGACAUACAGUACACGUGUUAGUUAACCAGAUUAUAUUCAGAAAAAAGAAUCGCUUUCAUACUGAAAAUUUUUAUUAUUAGAAAUUACCAAUGACUGAUAACUCUUUGAUAAGUCUAUCUCACUAUUGUUGGACUAGUGAGUUACUAACCGUGUUACACGCUUAAAAACUUAAUUGUUGAAGCGCAGUAAUAACAUUAUAAAAACAACAAUCCUCUGAACCUGACUGAAAUUCUUAAGAUUUUUAUUCUCACAAAAUCAGAUCAGUGGACUCGAUAUUUUGACUAAGACCAAUACUUUUUAUAGUCGUCUAGAUUUGUAUAGAUCAUGAUUUUAUCUUAUUUUUUUUUAUCUUUAGGUAUUCAAAUUAUAAAAUAACUUUUAAUAUAAUAAUUGAUAUAGGUAUCUGUGACAUGGAAGUCUGGUUAGCAAAAUCUAGUACUGUACAGUUAACAUCAUUAUCACCAGUAAGAUCUAAUACUGUACACAGCCUUUAGACUUGUGCCAGGUCAGCUCUGAUACAUCAUCGUCUUAUAAAAACAAAGCAAAGUGUGUGGAGUUAACAUCUUGCCUGAGAAUUGGUUUUUAGAUGAAAUUGAGCAAAGAGAGAUUGAAGAAUGGAGUGUGGUGAGAAACAUGAAGUAAGGAGGUUGUAACACAGGCCACAUCACUAGGGGAGGUUGAAACACAGCUCACAUCACUAGGGGAGGUUGUAACACAGGCCACAUCACUAGGGGAGGUUGAAACACAGCUCACAUCACUAGGGGAGGUUGUAACACAGGCCACAUCACUAGGGGAGGUUGUAACACAGGCCACAUCACUAGGGGAGGUUGUAACACAGGCCACAUCACUAGAGGAGGUUGUAACACAGGCCACAUCACUAGGGGAGGUUGUAGUGUGACAGUAACUAAACAGACGGAUCAUCAUCGUGGAUGUCGUCUUCUCCUAUACAGUUGUUUCUGUGGAUGACUGGCACCAGGAGAUUCACUGUCACAUAAUAUCCAUCAGUAACUAGCAAGUUGUGCCGGGUAGUACAUGAAACAUCACUAGUAUACGUGAAGGCCGGGAGAUGUUCUGUACUAGUUUUAUGGACUGAGUAACCUUUGAAUAUGAACUAGUGAAACAUGUGUUGGAUCAAUUGCAGUCUGGCAGCCAUAUUCGGUAAUUUAAAUAUUUUGUUUCAUUGGUCAAUCCGUCAACCAUGGCUCUUAGUUGGAAGAGGAAGAGACAAACGACUUGCUUGACAGCAAUAUUUUGGAUGUUUUUCUUUGUAUAAGAAGAAAUAAAGUGUGGAGGAGGUGUGGAAGUGUCUGUCUUGUGAAUAGUGGACCAGAGUUUGGUUAGGUGGAGGAAACAUACUGAGAGAAUGAGAAAAAAAGAUUGACAAAAACUGUAAAUUUAAAGAGAAUUAAAUCAGUAAAUGGGAAGACAAGGAGGAGAUGGGGAGAUUGUAUGGGGCGUCAGUGGUCACCAUGACAAUGGGAGGCAUUGUGGAAAUAACAUCAUGUCACACUCCUUAUGGCUGCCAGAGUGAGGAGGAUGGACAUCCAGGAAGCAGUAAUGUUUGUAAAUAACCAGAGGGCUAAGUCGAAAGUGAUUCAUUUUUGGAUGUUUGGGGCUUUCUUGUGGAAGGGGAACACAGUACAGUCAGUUGUACAUUGUAGUACUGUACAGGUAGUUGUGUUCCUGGAAAACACUGCUUUAUGGGGAAGCUAGUUCAAGAACACCAACAGGACUGACAUGGGAUCCACUUUCACUUGCAUAAUACAGUAUUGUUAUUUUGGGUGUUAUUUUUUAGUAACUGUGUUUUAGUUUAAUGUGAUCAAUAAUAGAAUAAAAACAUGAAAAGGGGGAAAAAUGCAUGUUACAAUGUGUUAGUUUACGUUGUUAUACGAUAGAAAAUGGAGGUGUGAAGGAGGGUACAGAACAGAAAUGAUAAAGUAGUGGGGUGUGACUUGCUUAACAGCUUUUAAUUAAAAACAAAUUAAAUCCAAACACUUUUGACUACAAGGAAUGUAAAUAAACUUAUAAGAAUGUUUUAACAUUCACCACAAGAAGAGAAGAUGGAGUAGGUGAGGGUUCAUACCACAAUCACAUCUAAUUAUUAUUCUAGAGUUACAGCUUUUCUUCAUUUUACUUCACUUUCACUUCCACCACUCCCAGAAUGCUUCACACUUUUGCCAUGCAUUGUAAUUAAAAGCAAUAACAUUAAUACAAUACUGUACUGUACUAUAUUAAGAUAAAGCACAGUCCACAUUAACAUAACUGAUGCAUAUGAGAGGUAAACAAAGACUGUGGGGGUGGCACACUGCAUUACUGCUUAUUCCUACUUGUGACAGUUCUGUUUACAAAGUCGCGUUAUAUCCAAAUCGCAUCAUGUUAUAUAAAAUGUGUUCCAUAAUACAUUCAUGUGUGCUAUAAAAGCACACAUUAUAGGAGAACUUACUGCACUGUUGUAGAACACAUAAUGUUAUACUGAUUAAUUGAGAGCAAAUAAAGGUACUGUAGUUGGUGUUUUUCUUUGUUAACAAUCACUGCAUUUUAGUGGGGAAAGCCUGAGCUGAGAAGUUGAAUGAAAUAUUUAGUUCAUAUAUUUUUCAUAUGUUGAUAUUGAAACAGUUUUUUUAUCCAAAAACUACAGAUACAGACUGAAUAAUAAUAAUAAUAUUUACAUGGCUGAGCCAAUACAGAGCCUGGGCUGUCCAAGUGGCAUUAAUCAAUGAAAUUAUGUUAAAAUAUAUACAGUAUUUGUUAAUCUUCAUCAGCAUCAGUAAUACUUGUGACCACCACUUGAAGGAUAUAUAAUCAGUAUUAUGAAAUAUACCUGGAAAAAUGAGCAGUACAUGUGAAUAUUUAGGCUUUUACAGUAUAAGGUCAUCACUUGUCACAUCAAUGUAAAGUCUUGUAGGGUGUUACAAAAUAUUGUCCAUGUUGAAUUACCAGUUCUUUAUUUCAUCUUAAGCUUCUGUUAUAUUCCCAUUUACAGUUACAAGUCUAAUAGACCCCAACCUAACUUAACUCUACCAUUAGGAUUGGGGAACCAUAGGACCAUGGCAUUAGAUCUGGUCAACAAUGUGGGUGGGUGGUCAGGUGGAGGCUCAUUUGACCAGUCUCCCCUAUGUACAGUGGAGUACAGUACUACUUUACCAGGGACACAGUACUUUCCGCUGGACUCGAGUACAGUAUCACGAUCAUAGAGACGUAAUAACUGGUGUAAUCAUAGAGACGUAAUAACUGGUGUAAUCAUAGAGACGUAAUAACUGGUGUAAUCAUAGAGACGUAAUAACUGGUGUAAUCUAUUAUUAUGCAAAGUAACUUAAACAAUUUGACAUGCUUACACAGUCAAUAGAUGCACAGUAUAUAGUACUUGGGUGUUAUAGUAAAGAAUAUUAUGGAAGUAGUGGAAAACCUUGUAAACUGCUAUAUAUUUACAGUAUACAAGUGAAUUAUUUCUUGACUGGCAAACUUCAGUUCAUCCAGUAAUUGCAAGAGUUAUGUGACUGUGUCUCCAUGAGUAAAAUAAUCAAAACACAUGUUAGUGAUUAAGAAAAUUAUAUUGCUUGUCACCAGAUAGCACUAGAGGUAAACUGGGCUUAAUGUGUAUUCAGUAUUUGCAUGAUUAUUUUCUCUCUAUAUAUUCAGUAUAUUAUGCUUUAUUUCUUUUUGUCAUCUUUGCAUGUUAAUGUAUUAUAUUUGUUAUUUUCUAUUAUAUAUAUACAAUAUUUUAUGAGUGUGUGAGGUGAUAGGUGUUAUGUAAUUAUCUUGACCCAUACAAUCACAGAUGACAUUUUAGGCUUCAAUUUUUCCUUGGAUCUUAAUUUAUGUAUUAUUUAUCAAACAACUUACAAUGUCUUCAGAGAUUGAUUGAAACAUUUGGUGGGAGUCAUAGCUAAUAUAAUCAUUUGUCAGAAUCUUGUGUGCACUAGGAGGAAACUACUUUGUCAAUCAGGGGUUCCCAAGCAUUUACCCUUCUAGUGCUGUUACCUAUCCAGUCAGUCUCUCUCUCUCUCAAAAUCGGACUAAUUGAGGCAGACCCAAGUCCGAAAACACCCCAUAUAUGAGGGGGGGUGGGGGGGUAACACUGCUCAUCUGAACUGUUCAAAGAAAAUCAGUCGUUAUGUUAUUACUGCACUUCAACAACUAAGGUCUUUAAGUGUGUAACAAGGUUAUUAAAAGAAUAUUACAUCAACAAUAAAAAAAUAUGUGUUACGUUUUAA
This is a long non-coding RNA of Homarus americanus (American lobster), 5484 nucleotides long. RefSeq lists it as uncharacterized. The record is from RefSeq and is a predicted model, not a curated record. NCBI's taxonomy places the organism in Eukaryota, Metazoa, Arthropoda, Malacostraca, Decapoda, Nephropidae. The transcript is spliced from 3 exons.